This 514-nucleotide ribosomal RNA is filed under the name Malassezia furfur. RNAcentral's name for it is "eukaryotic LSU rRNA". It matches the Rfam family "Eukaryotic large subunit ribosomal RNA", at positions 89 to 607 of the family's 3401-position model. The record is from RNAcentral. Lineage: Eukaryota; Fungi; Basidiomycota; Malasseziomycetes; Malasseziales; Malasseziaceae.
GCGAGUGAAGAGGGAGAGCUCAAAUUUGAAAGCUGGUACCUUCGGUAUCCGCGUUGUAACCUCGAGACACGUUUUCCGUGCGGCGCUAUGGACAAGUUCCUUGGAACAGGACAUCGUAGAGGGUGAAAAUCCCGUACUUGCCAUGGAUGUACCGUGCUUUGCGAUACGUGCUCUAAGAGUCGAGUUGUUUGGGAUUGCAGCUCAAAAUGGGUGGUAGACUCCAUCUAAAGCUAAAUAUCGGGGAGAGACCGAUAGCGAACAAGUACCGUGAGGGAAAGAUGAAAAGCACUUUGGAAAGAGAGUUAAAAGUACGUGAAAUUGUCGAAAGGGAAGCGCUUGAAGUCAGCCAUGCCGCUCAGGACUCAGCCUGGCUUUUGCUUGGUGUAUUUCCUGGGUAGCAAGUCAGCAUUGGUUUGGAUCGUCGGAGAAGCAUAGUCGGAAUGUGGCGCCCUCGGGCGUGUUAUAGCCUUCUAUUGGAUAGGGACGAUCUAGACCAAGGAACGCAGCGCGCCUU